GAUGAACGCUAGCGAUAGGCUUAACACAUGCAAGUCGAGGGGCAGCACAAGGUAGCUUGCUAUCUGGGUGGCGACCGGCGCACGGGUGCGUAACGCGUAUGCAACUUGCCCUAUACAGGAGGAUAACCCGUCGAAAGACGGACUAAUACUGCGUAUGCUCACAACUUGGCAUCAAGUGGUGAGGAAAGAAAUUCGGUAUAGGAUAGGCAUGCGUCCCAUUAGCUUGUUGGUGAGGUAACGGCUCACCAAGGCAACGAUGGGUAGGGGAACUGAGAGGUUUAUCCCCCACACUGGUACUGAGACACGGACCAGACUCCUACGGGAGGCAGCAGUGAGGAAUAUUGGUCAAUGGGCGCGAGCCUGAACCAGCCAAGUCGCGUGAAGGAUGACUGUCUUAUGGAUUGUAAACUUCUUUUAGACGGGAAUAACAAGAGUCACGUGUGACUCCCUGCAUGUACCGCAUGAAUAAGCAUCGGCUAACUCCGUG
Molecule: ribosomal RNA, 487 nt
Filed under: uncultured bacterium
Lineage: Bacteria
Description: partial 16S ribosomal RNA
Rfam family: Bacterial small subunit ribosomal RNA
Source: RNAcentral